RNAcentral lists this ribosomal RNA (253 nucleotides) under uncultured bacterium. Its description in RNAcentral is "partial 16S ribosomal RNA". It matches the Rfam family "Bacterial small subunit ribosomal RNA", at positions 524 to 776 of the family's 1533-position model. The record is from RNAcentral.
UACGAGUGCCUCAAGCGUUAUCCGGAAUUAUUGGGCGUAAAGGUUGUGUAGGUGGUCGUGUUAGUCUUCUGUUAAAUUCUUCGGCUUAACCGGGGGCAUGCAGAAGAAACGGCACGACUCGAGGAUGCGAGGGGUCUGCGGAACUCAUAGUGUAGCGGUGAAAUGCGUUGAUAUUAUGGGGAACACCAAAAGCGAAGGCAGCAGACUGGAGCACUCCUGACACUGAAACAAGAAAGCGUGGGUAGCGAAUGGG